CCUACGGGAGGCAGCAGUGGGGAAUAUUGCACAAUGGGGGAAACCCUGAUGCAGCAAAGCCGCGUGAGUGAUGACGGCCUUCGGGUUGUAAAGCUCUGUCUUCAGGGACGAUAAUGACGGUACCUGUGGAGGGAGCCACGGUUAACUACGUGCCAGCAGCCGCGGUCAUACGUAGGUGGCGCGCGUUGUUCGGAUUUACUGGGCGUAAAGGGAGCGUAGGCGGACUUUUAAGGGAGAUGUGAAAUACUCGGGUUCAACUGUAGUGCUGCAUUUCAAACUGGAAGUCUAGAGUGCAGGAGAGGAGAAUGGAAUUCCUAGUGUAGCGGUGAAAUGCGUAGAGAUUAGGAAGAACACCAGUGGCGAAGGCGAUUCUCUGGACUGUAACUGACGCUGAGGCUCGAAAGCGUGGGGAGCAAACAGGAUUAGAUACCCGUGUAGUC
This 440-nucleotide ribosomal RNA is filed under the name uncultured bacterium. RNAcentral describes it as "partial 16S ribosomal RNA". It matches the Rfam family "Bacterial small subunit ribosomal RNA", at positions 338 to 795 of the family's 1533-position model. The record is from RNAcentral.